Molecule: unclassified non-coding RNA, 245 nt
Filed under: Paraglomus occultum
Lineage: Eukaryota; Fungi; Glomeromycota; Glomeromycetes; Paraglomerales; Paraglomeraceae
Description: partial contains 5.8S ribosomal RNA and internal transcribed spacer 2
Rfam family: 5.8S ribosomal RNA (bases 1-65)
Source: RNAcentral
GUGAAUCAUCAAAUUUUUGAACGCAAAUUGCGCCUUUUUCGGAAGGCAUGUCUGUUUGAGGGCACCAUUUAACAAAUAAUGUGCAUUUCGUGUGCACACGUUGCUUAGCUUUCCAAAAUUAUAUAUUAUUAUUUUUUUUGUCGCAUAAUAAAAAUCGCGAUACGUUUUUUCAGUUGUUUUUUAGUAUAAUUUUUUCUUUCUUGGGUUUUGAAAGUCGUAAUCGCGCAAUGGGUGUUACGGUUUUA